Molecule: ribosomal RNA, 773 nt
Filed under: uncultured Streptococcus sp.
Lineage: Bacteria; Bacillati; Bacillota; Bacilli; Lactobacillales; Streptococcaceae
Description: bacterial SSU rRNA
Rfam family: Bacterial small subunit ribosomal RNA
Source: RNAcentral
GACGAACGCUGGCGGCGUGCCUAAUACAUGCAAGUAGAACGCACAGUAUAUACCGUAGCUUGCUACACCAUAGACUGUGAGUUGCGAACGGGUGAGUAACGCGUAGGUAACCUGCCUGGUAGCGGGGGAUAGCUAUUGGAAACGAUAGCUAAUACCGCAUAAUAUUAAUUAUUGCAUGAUAAUUGAUUGAAAGAUGCAACUGCAUCACUACCAGAUGGACCUGCGUUGUAUUAGCUAGUAGGUGAGGUAACGGCUCACCUAGGCGACGAUACAUAGCCGACCUGAGAGGGUGAUCGGCCACACUGGGACUGAGACACGGCCCAGACUCCUACGGGAGGCAGCAGUAGGGAAUCUUCGGCAAUGGACGAAAGUCUGACCGAGCAACGCCGCGUGAGUGAAGAAGGUUUUCGGAUCGUAAAGCUCUGUUGUAAGAGAAGAACGGGUGUGAGAGUGGAAAGUUCACACUGUGACGGUAUCUUACCAGAAAGGGACGGCUAACUACGUGCCAGCAGCCGCGGUAAUACGUAGGUCCCGAGCGUUGUCCGGAUUUAUUGGGCGUAAAGCGAGCGCAGGCGGUUAGAUAAGUCUGAAGUUAAAGGCUGUGGCUUAACCAUAGUACGCUUUGGAAACUGUUUAACUUGAGUGCAGAAGGGGAGAGUGGAAUUCCAUGUGUAGCGGUGAAAUGCGUAGAUAUAUGGAGGAACACCGGUGGCGAAAGCGGCUCUCUGGUCUGUAACUGACGCUGAGGCUCGAAAGCGUGGGGAGCGAACAGG